UUUGGCCUACGGGAGGCAGCAGUGAGGAAUAUUGGUCAAUGGUCGGGAGACUGAACCAGCCAAGCCGCGUGAGGGAGGAAGGUACAGAGUAUCGUAAACCUCUUUUGUCAGGGAACAAAGACUGGGACGCGUCCCCGGAUGAGUGUACCUGAAGAAAAAGCAUCGGCUAACUCCGUGCCAGCAGCCGCGGUAAUACGGAGGAUGCGAGCGUUAUCCGGAUUUAUUGGGUUUAAAGGGUGCGCAGGCGGUCUGUUAAGUCAGCGGUCAAAGCCCGGGGCUCAACCCCGGCCCGCCGUUGAAACUGG
This 305-nucleotide ribosomal RNA is filed under the name uncultured bacterium. RNAcentral's name for it is "bacterial SSU rRNA". It matches the Rfam family "Bacterial small subunit ribosomal RNA", at positions 333 to 636 of the family's 1533-position model. The record is from RNAcentral.